Molecule: ribosomal RNA, 719 nt
Filed under: uncultured Alphaproteobacteria bacterium
Lineage: Bacteria; Pseudomonadati; Pseudomonadota; Alphaproteobacteria
Description: bacterial SSU rRNA
Rfam family: Bacterial small subunit ribosomal RNA
Source: RNAcentral
GGCGGCAGGCCUAAUACAUGCAAGUCGAGCGCGCCCUUCGGGGUGAGCGGCGGACGGGUGAGUAACGCGUGGGAAUAUGCCCUUCUCUAAGGAAUAGCCUCUGGAAACGGAGAGUAAUACCUUAUACGCCCUUUGGGGGAAAGAUUUAUCGGAGAAGGAUUAGCCCGCGUUAGAUUAGGUAGUUGGUGGGGUAAUGGCCUACCAAGCCUACGAUCUAUAGCUGGUUUGAGAGGAUGAUCAGCCACACUGGGACUGAGACACGGCCCAGACUCCUACGGGAGGCAGCAGUAGGGAAUCUUAGACAAUGGGGGCAACCCUGAUCUAGCCAUGCCGCGUGUGUGAUGAAGGCCCUAGGGUCGUAAAGCACUUUCGCCAGAGAUGAUAAUGACAGUAUCUGGUAAAGAAACCCCGGCUAACUCCGUGCCAGCAGCCGCGGUAAUACGGAGGGGGUUAGCGUUGUUCGGAAUUACUGGGCGUAAAGCGCACGUAGGCGGAUUAGUAAGUUAGAGGUGAAAUCCCAGGGCCCAACCCUGGAACUGCCUUUAAUACUGCUAGUCUUGAGUUCGAGAGAGGUAAGUGGAAUUCCGAGUGUAGAGGUGAAAUUCGUAGAUAUUCGGAGGAACACCAGUGGCGAAGGCGGCUUACUGGCUCGAUACUGACGCUGAGGUGCGAAAGUGUGGGGAGCAAACAGGAUUAGAUACCCUGGUAGUCCACACCGU